RNAcentral lists this long non-coding RNA (969 nucleotides) under Coccomyxa subellipsoidea. RNAcentral's name for it is "long non-coding RNA (CSUB_LNC000228)". The record is from RNAcentral. Lineage: Eukaryota; Viridiplantae; Chlorophyta; Trebouxiophyceae; Coccomyxaceae.
GUGAAACCAAGUAAGUACGCUUCCGCACACGAUUCCUCGGGAGAAAGCGCAGGAGAGCUGGCGUCAGACGAAGCUGGGCACAGCUCUGACAGCAGCUAUGGCCAACACCCAGCAGAGGCCCUCAUCAUUGCUAAGGCCAGGAGACGAGACUCACAGGGUGCAACCUCGUCGCCACUGCCAACAGCAACUGCGGUGCGUAGGCGACUGAGAGCCUUAGCCAGGUUUUUAUGAAAGCGCCAGACCUGAAACUUAUGUUUUAUGUUGACCUGUAUUGUGCAGGUUGUUGGCGAACCAUCUCAAGAGAACGGGCACUUGGAAUACCCUCCGGGUCUUAGGAUCACUCCCUUGCAGGAAGAGCAGGGGACAGCAGCUGGGGACUUCACUAUGGGCAAGGUGUCAGCGAAGAAACGGCAUAGAAAGCGCAGACACACUUCAAAACUGUUGAAGAUCGCUGUCAAGAAUGCAGAGCUGGCUACUGAUGCAGGUGUGAGAUUCAGUGUCACAGAAACAGACAGACACGGGCCUCCUUGAGAGGUACAGCUUUGAGUGAAAGACUUUCUCUGGGAAUGCACUGAACACACUUCAACGACUACAAUCCAAUGACCACAAUGGAGAGCAUGAACAUUCUGCACAAGAGGUGCAGAUGUCAUUCUUGUGUGCCGGUGUGUGACUUCAUAGGGUACAUGGUACAUCUCCUUGCUGUGCUUUGGUCCGGCACCAAUGUGCAUGCGCUCUUGGCAGUGGUAAAAUGAGCAAUCAACCCUGUCAAAACUAAUCAAUGCUUACCGGCAGGAGGUCUCAACCAGGCCUGGGCUCGGGGUGUGUGGCGCCUGCAGGCGGCAAAGCAGUGGCCACGGAGACCACAGCUGUCAGGACACAGGACGAUGACAUUGACGGAGUCUCCCUGAUGAGCUCUGACAGCGAGGAGGAGCGGGGCAUCACUUUGGGAAACGCUCCUGAUGCGCAAGG